UGGGGAAUUUUGGACAAUGGGGGAAACCCUGAUCCAGCCAUCCCGCGUGUGCGAUGAAGGCCUUCGGGUUGUAAAGCACUUUUGGCAGGAAAGAAACGUCGCGGGUUAAUACCCCGCGAAACUGACGGUACCUGCAGAAUAAGCACCGGCUAACUACGUGCCAGCAGCCGCGGUAAUACGUAGGGUGCAAGCGUUAAUCGGAAUUACUGGGCGUAAAGCGUGCGCAGGCGGUUCGGAAAGAAAGAUGUGAAAUCCCAGAGCUUAACUUUGGAACUGCAUUUUUGAACUACCGGGCUAGAGUGUGUCAGAGGGAGGUGGAAUUCCGCGUGUAGCAGUGAAAUGCGUAGAUAUGCGGAGGAACACCGAUGGCGAAGGCAGCCUCCUGGGCAUAACACUGACGCUCAUGCACGAAAAGCGUGGGGAGCAAACAGGAUUAGAUACCCUGGUAGUCCACGCCCUAAAANGAUGUCAACUAGCUGUUGGGGGCCUUCGGGCCUUGGUAGCGCAGCUAACGCGUGAAGUUGACCGCCUGGGGGAGUACGGUCGCAAGAUUAAAAACUCAAAGGAAUU
RNAcentral lists this ribosomal RNA (570 nucleotides) under uncultured bacterium. Its description in RNAcentral is "partial 16S ribosomal RNA". It matches the Rfam family "Bacterial small subunit ribosomal RNA", at positions 355 to 911 of the family's 1533-position model. The record is from RNAcentral.